GGCUGUCAACACGACAAGUUGCCUAUGUGAUAGUUACAAAUCAAACAGCAAAAUUAUUAGAAGAAAUAUCAUUUUAAACAAAUUUUAUGUUACUAGUAGGUACAAGUGAAUGUAAAAUCAAGUUUCUAAUGAUUCAAAAUUUUUUUAUGGUUAUAUUAUUUUCUCCUUGCAUGUUUCUAAUGAUUUUUUUUAGGGCAACAAUAUUUUCAGGCUUAUUUUUCACGUGUGAAUUACUUGUAUAUGUCCUCACAAAUCUAACAACUUCUGUUGUCCCCCACAUACUUCUCCUUAGGUGAAGCCCACUCCUAACUGUCAC
RNAcentral lists this unclassified non-coding RNA (316 nucleotides) under Hevea brasiliensis (rubber tree). The record is from RNAcentral. Lineage: Eukaryota; Viridiplantae; Streptophyta; Magnoliopsida; Malpighiales; Euphorbiaceae.